Long non-coding RNA from Prinia subflava (tawny-flanked prinia), 495 nucleotides. RefSeq lists it as uncharacterized. The record is from RefSeq and is a predicted model, not a curated record. Lineage: Eukaryota; Metazoa; Chordata; Aves; Passeriformes; Cisticolidae. The transcript has 4 exons.
CCUGGCAGUAAGGAAGAGAGAAAGGACGAGUAGAAAGGGCUCCACCAGAGAGGAAGAGAAGGCAGGUGAAGACUAGGGCAUGCACACUGUGAGCCCAGCUCGACGGACUUUUUAAUGGCUUGUCUCUGCGGGCGUGGUGAGCUACCAUCCUUUUUCACGAACCCAGACCAGCUUGCCUUCAAUUCCAGUACCAGUGAUACGCGGAAAGGACUCUAAAACUCGGAGGCAGAGCGAAUUUUAAAGUAGGGUCUCCGGGGGUCCCAGGGAUGAAGGAAGGAGUCUUCCUCUGAGAUGAACUUUUGACCCUGCCGCCUCGCGCAUGCUCACCGGUGCUCUGGUCACACUUCAAGCUGUAAGGUCUCUAGAUGUGGUGACUGCAUACCCAGCAUGUCGUUUUCCAUCGCUGACAGAACUGCUUCCAUCAGUGAACCAGGUUUCUGCAUCAUCCAAAGGGGUGUCCUUCAGGUCUGAGCGGCUGGAGUAGGUGGCUUCAAU